RNAcentral lists this ribosomal RNA (253 nucleotides) under uncultured bacterium. Its description in RNAcentral is "partial 16S ribosomal RNA". It matches the Rfam family "Bacterial small subunit ribosomal RNA", at positions 524 to 776 of the family's 1533-position model. The record is from RNAcentral.
UACGGAGGGUGCAAGCGUUAAUCGGAAUUACUGGGCGUAAAGCGUGCGUAGGUGGUUGAUUAAGUUAUCUGUGAAAUCCCUGGGCUUAACCUGGGCAGGUCAGAUGAUACUGGUUGACUCGAGUAUGGGAGAGGGUAGUGGAAUUUCCGGUGUAGCGGUGAAAUGCGUAGAGAUCGGAAGGAACACCAGUGGCGAAGGCGGCUACCUGGCCUAAUACUGACACUGAGGUACGAAAGCGUGGGGAGCAAACAGG